RNAcentral lists this ribosomal RNA (878 nucleotides) under uncultured organism. RNAcentral describes it as "bacterial SSU rRNA". It matches the Rfam family "Bacterial small subunit ribosomal RNA", at positions 91 to 976 of the family's 1533-position model. The record is from RNAcentral.
ACGAGUGGCGGACGGGUGAGUAACGCGUAGGAAUCUACCGAUAGGUUUGGGAUAGCCACGAGAAAUUGUGGAUAAUACCGAAUGAGACCGAGAGGUCAAAGGGGCGAAUGCCUCGCCUAUUGAUGAGCCUGCGACCCAUCAGGUAGUUGGGAGGGUAAAGGCCUACCAAGCCAAAGACGGGUAGCUGGUCUGAGAGGAUGAUCAGUCACAAGGGAACUGAGACACGGUCCCUACUCCUACGGGAGGCAGCAGCCAAGAAUAUUCCGCAAUGGGCGAAAGCCUGACGGAGCGACGCCGCGUGGGGGAAGAAGGCCUUCGGGUUGUAAACUCCUUUUCUUAGGGAAGAAUAAGGUACGGAGGAAAUGCCGUAUUGAUGACGGUACCUAAGGAAUAAGCCCCGGCUAAUUACGUGCCAGCAGCCGCGGUAAUACGUAAGGGGCAAGCGUUACUCGGAAUUACUGGGCGUAAAGGGCGCGCAGGCGGCCGCGCAAGUCAAAUGUAAAAAAUCACGGCUUAACCGUGGGUCUGCGUUUGAAACUGCGAGGCUAGAAUCUGGUGGAGGGUGAUGGAAUUCCCGGUGUAGCGGUGAAAUGCGUAGAGAUCGGGAAGAACACCAAAGGCGAAGGCAGUCAUCCAUGCCGAGAUUGACGCUGAGGCGCGAAAGCGUGGGUAGCAAACAGGAUUAGAUACCCUGGUAGUCCACGCUGUAAACGAUGUACACUAGGAGUUGGGGGGAUGCCCUUAGCUCCGCAGUUAACGCGAUAAGUGUACCGCCUGGGGACUACGACCGCAAGGUUGAAACUCAAAGAAAUUGACGGGGGCCCGCACAAGCGGUGGAGCAUGUGGUUUACUUCGAUGAUAAGCGAAGAACCUUACCA